This 582-nucleotide small RNA is filed under the name Pongo abelii (Sumatran orangutan). Its description in RNAcentral is "retained intron". Lineage: Eukaryota; Metazoa; Chordata; Mammalia; Primates; Hominidae. The record is from RNAcentral.
AAACACAGAAUAAGGUUUCAAAUGCUGGGCAGCAAAAAAUGCUGAGAAACGUCCAGUACAGAACUGGGAGAAGGUCUUAACAUCAAGCCGUGACAUGAUUUUCCCUCCUUUGUAGCCCAUAGAUGAGAGCAGCCAGAUGAGUGACCUCCCUGUCAAAGUGACUCACACAGAAACCGGCAAGGUUCUGUUCGGACCAGAAGCACCCAAAGCAAGUCAGCUGGACGCCUGGCUGGAAAUGAAUCCUGGUUAUGAAGUUGCCCCUAGAUCUGACAGUGAAGAGAGUGAUUCUGAUUAUGAGGAAGAGGAUGAGGAAGAAGAGUCCAGUAGGCAGGAAACCGAAGAGAAAAUACUCCUGGAUCCAAAUAGUGAAGAAGUUUCUGAGAAGGAUGCUAAGCAGAUCAUUGAGACAGCUAAGCAAGACGUGGAUGAUGAAUACAGCAUGCAGUACAGUGCCAGGGGCUCCCAGUCCUACUACACCGUGGCUCAUGCCAUCUCGGAGAGGGUGGAGAAACAGUCUGCCCUCCUCAUUAACGGGACCCUAAAGCAUUACCAGCUCCAGGGCCUGGAAUGGAUGGUUUCCCU